RNAcentral lists this ribosomal RNA (253 nucleotides) under uncultured bacterium. RNAcentral describes it as "partial 16S ribosomal RNA". It matches the Rfam family "Bacterial small subunit ribosomal RNA", at positions 524 to 776 of the family's 1533-position model. The record is from RNAcentral.
UACGUAGGGGGCAAGCGUUGUCCGGAUUCAUUGGGCGUAAAGAGCGUGUAGGCGGCCAGGUAGGUCGGUUGUGAAAACUGGAGGCUCAACCUUCAGAGGUCGACCGAAACCAUCUGGCUAGAGUCCGGAAGAGGUGAGUGGAAUUCCUAGUGUAGAGGUGAAAUUCGUAGAUAUUAGGAAGAACACCAGUGGCGAAGGCGGCUCACUGGUCCGGUACUGACGCUGAGGUGCGAAAGCGUGGGGAGCAAACAGG